Molecule: ribosomal RNA, 403 nt
Filed under: uncultured bacterium
Lineage: Bacteria
Description: bacterial SSU rRNA
Rfam family: Bacterial small subunit ribosomal RNA
Source: RNAcentral
UAGGGAAUAUUGCAAAAUGGGCGAAAGCCCGAUCCAGCAACGCCGCGUGGGCGAUGAAGGCCUUCGGGUCGUAAAGCCCUUUUUGAGGGGAUGAGGAAGGACAGUACCCUCAGAAUAAGCCUCGGCUAACUACGUGCCAGCAGCCGCGGUAAAACGUAGGAGGCGAGCGUUAUCCGGAUUUACUGGGCGUAAAGCGCGUGCAGGCGGAUUGGAGAGUUGGAUGUGAAAGCUCCCGGCUUAACUGGGAGAGGUCGUUCAAUACUUCCAGUCUUGAGUGCAGUAGAGGGAAGUGGAAUUCCGGGUGUAGUGGUGAAAUGCGUAGAUAUCCGGAGGAACACCAGUGGCGAAAGCGGCUUCCUGGACUGUAACUGACGCUCAGACGCGAAAGCUAGGGUAGCAAGCG